Molecule: ribosomal RNA, 426 nt
Filed under: uncultured bacterium
Lineage: Bacteria
Description: bacterial SSU rRNA
Rfam family: Bacterial small subunit ribosomal RNA
Source: RNAcentral
UGGGGAAUUUUGGACAAUGGACGCAAGUCUGGUCCAGCCAUGCCGCGUGCGGGAAGAAGGCCUUCGGGUUGUAAACCGCUUUUGUCAGGGAAGAAAAGGUUCUGGUUAAUACCUGGGACUCAUGACGGUACCUGAAGAAUAAGCCCCGGCUAACUCCGUGCCAGCAGCCGCGGUAAUACGUAGGGUGCGAGCGUUAAUCGGAAUUACUGGGCGUAAAGCGUGUGUAGGCGGCGUGUUAAGUGCGAUGCGAAAUCUUGUGGCUCAACCAUAUAGACUGUAUCGCAUACUGGCAUGCUAGAGGAUGGCAGAGGCAAGUGGAAUUUGUAGUGUAGCAGUGAAAUGCGUAGAUAUUACAAGGAACACCAAUGGCGAAGGCAGCUUGCUGGGCCAUAUCUGACGCUGAGACACGAAAGCGUGGGGAGCGAA